RNAcentral lists this ribosomal RNA (264 nucleotides) under uncultured archaeon. RNAcentral's name for it is "partial 16S ribosomal RNA". It matches the Rfam family "Archaeal small subunit ribosomal RNA", at positions 719 to 982 of the family's 1478-position model. The record is from RNAcentral.
ACAGUCACACAUUAGAUACCCGCGUAGUCCUGGCCGUAAACGAUGUGGACUUGGUGUUGGAAUGGCUCCGAGCUGCUCCAGUGCCGAAGGGAAGCUGUUAAGUCCACCGCCUGGGAAGUACGGUCGCAAGACUGAAACUUAAAGGAAUUGGCGGGGAGCACCACAACGGGUGGAGCCUGCGGUUUAAUUGGACUCAACGCCGGAAAUCUCACCGGAUAGGACAGACAUAUGAUAGUCGGGCUGAAGACUCUACUUGAUGAUCUG